This 510-nucleotide long non-coding RNA is filed under the name Helianthus annuus (common sunflower). RNAcentral describes it as "hypothetical non coding rna". Lineage: Eukaryota; Viridiplantae; Streptophyta; Magnoliopsida; Asterales; Asteraceae. The record is from RNAcentral.
GGCUAAGCUAGUUGUCGACUCAGCACAGCUACGCGUUGACCCAGCUUUGACGCGGGCCGCGUAAGCUUUGUGCUUAUACUACGCGGGCCGCGAGAGACCCCGAUUCAGGCACUAUAUAAAGGAGGCAUCGGCUGUCCAUUUCAAUUCGUUCAUUCUUCGAUUCUUUCUCUCAAAUUCUGAUAUAAGGCUUUAUUAAGCGGGUAUUAUACCCCCCUAAUUAGCGAAGCUCUGCCUCGUUGAAGUCACAAAGGAAAGCCCUAUAACAGCAAUGUGAGUAAUCCUUCUUUUUAUGUACUCAUUUUUGUAACUUAGUGUGAAGCCAAUAAAAGCCAGCUGGAGAGCACUGAAGGCUUGGAAGAGUGGCAAUAAAGUUACCUAAAAUAAAAUAGAUGUUUUUACUAAAUAAAAUAGGAUUUAUUCCUAUGAAAAUGUGUGUACCACAAACUUGGGUUUUACCCAUGUGUUUAAUGUUAUAAAAUGUGGUGGUUUACUCUGAUAAAAUAUUUCCUA